ACGGGAUGCGUCCCGUUGAAAGGAAUGUAGCUCAGCAAUGAGCCGAACCUUAGG
Molecule: non-coding RNA, 54 nt
Filed under: unclassified sequences
Description: eL15-Euryarchaeota ribosomal protein leader
Rfam family: eL15-Euryarchaeota ribosomal protein leader
Source: RNAcentral